Non-coding RNA from Prunus persica (peach), 117 nucleotides. The record is from Rfam. NCBI's taxonomy places the organism in Eukaryota, Viridiplantae, Streptophyta, Magnoliopsida, Rosales, Rosaceae.
AGCCACGCUGUGGGCACAGAGCGAACUAUUCUUUCGCCUUUUACUAAAGAAUACCGUGUGCUCGCCGCAAUUGGUGGCAUACGCCAAUUUUUAGAGGAGUUUUUUUCAACAGAGAAG